GAUGAAGAACGCAGCGAAAUGCGAAAAGUAAUGUGAAUUGCAGAAUUCAGUGAAUCAUCGAAUCUUUGAACGCACAUUGCGCCCGCUGGUACUCCGGCGGGCACGCCUGUCCGAGCGUCAUUUCAACCCUCAAGCCCUCCUUCGGGAUGGGCCUGGUGUUGGGGCUCGGCCGCCAUCUCCGGCGGCCGUCCCCUAAAUACAGUGGCGGUCACGUCGCGACUCCUUUGCGUAGUAAAAACACCUCGCUCCGGAUAGCAACGCGGUCCACGCCGUAAAACCCCCAAUUUUCAAUGGUUGACCUCGGAUCAGGUGGGAAUACCCGCUGAACUUAAGCAUAUCAAUAAGCGGAGGA
RNAcentral lists this unclassified non-coding RNA (352 nucleotides) under soil metagenome. RNAcentral's name for it is "partial contains 5.8S ribosomal RNA, internal transcribed spacer 2, and large subunit ribosomal RNA". The stretch from base 1 to 120 matches the Rfam family "5.8S ribosomal RNA", at positions 35 to 154 of the family's 154-position model. The record is from RNAcentral.